UUGCAAACCAUAAGCGGAGGAAAAGAAACCAACAGGGAUUGCCUCAGUAACGGCGAGUGAAGCGGCAAAAGCUCAAAUUUGAAAUCUGGUACCUUUGGUGCCCGAGUUGUAAUUUGAAGAUAGUUUUCUGGUGCUGGCCCUUGUCUAUGUUCCUUGGAACAGGACGUCACAGAGGGUGAGAAUCCCGUCUGGCGGGGUGUCCAGUGCUUUGUAGAUUUCUAUCGACGAGUCGAGUUGUUUGGGAAUGCAGCUCUAAGUGGGUGGUAAAUUCCAUCUAAAGCUAAAUAUUGGCGAGAGACCGAUAGCGAACAAGUACAGUGAUGGAAAGAUGAAAAGAACUUUGAAAAGAGAGUGAAAAAGUACGUGAAAUUGUUGAAAGGGAAGGGUAUUAGAUCAGACUUGGUGUUUUGUGAUUAUCUUCCCUUCUUGGGUUGUGCACUCGCAUUUCACUGGGCCAGCAUCGGUUCGGGUGGUAAGAUAAUGACAUUGGAACGUGGCACUACCUUCGGGUGGUGUGUUAUAGCCCUUGUUGAUGUUGCCUGCCUGGACCGAGGACUGCGGCUUUUGCCUAGGAUGCUGGCGUAAUGAUCUAACACCGCCCGUCUUGAACAGGCCA
This 616-nucleotide ribosomal RNA is filed under the name Williopsis saturnus. Its description in RNAcentral is "LSU rRNA". It matches the Rfam family "Eukaryotic large subunit ribosomal RNA", at positions 36 to 668 of the family's 3401-position model. Lineage: Eukaryota; Fungi; Ascomycota; Saccharomycetes; Phaffomycetales; Wickerhamomycetaceae. The record is from RNAcentral.